RNAcentral lists this ribosomal RNA (255 nucleotides) under uncultured bacterium. Its description in RNAcentral is "partial 16S ribosomal RNA". It matches the Rfam family "Bacterial small subunit ribosomal RNA", at positions 78 to 334 of the family's 1533-position model. The record is from RNAcentral.
CUUUCUUUUGCUGGCGACCGGCGCACGGGUGAGUAGCACGUAUCCAACCUGCCCUUUACUCGGGGAUAGCCUUUCGAAAGAAAGAUUAAUACCCGAUAGUAUAAUGAUUCCGCAUGGUUUCAUUAUUAAAGGAUUCCGGUAAAGGAUGGGGAUGCGUCCCAUUAGGUUGUUGGUGAGGUAACGGCUCACCAAGCCUUCGAUGGAUAGGGGUUCUGAGAGGAAGGUCCCCCACAUUGGAACUGAGACACGGUCCAA